CCAUGUCCUCAGCACAUGGCAUAAACUCAGGGAUUGGCAGCAUCAUAAGAACCUAUGGAGUGAGCAAUGUCUUACUUCAGAAGCUGAUGACCAAUGGAAAGCAAGGACCAAGAUGACACAGGAGCCAACUGUUAGCAGCACGAAGUGCUUUCCAGUCCCCACAGUUUGCAUUUGGCUGUGUGGUCCCAGUGUUUACAUAUGCAAGUGCCCCUUGCUUGGAAAGACUGUGUCCUACUUGGUAGAGUCCUUAGCUCAUUCCACUUCCUUCUAGACUCAAGACUCCGGAAAGGGCCAUUGCAGGACACUGAAGAUGUGGGGGUGGGGCAUCGGAUCACCUCUACAGAUACCCUCUGGGGUUGCAACAAUGUACAGCAAGAGUCACAUGUCCAGACGCCUACAGAGUCCAGGCAGCCUGUUUGUGCAUGAAACAUUUAAGGAGGUGGAGUCAGGCAUGACAGCAUGGAAGGAGUCCAACCACCACCAUCCAAGGCUGACCAGAAACCACUUUAAGCCUCUUCCAUCCUGCUACGGUUUUACACCUCCCUAAAGAUAUAUAAUCAUGGGUUAAUAAGGCCCAGUAACCAUGGCUACACCCCAUAAUUCCCAACAUUCUUAUUUAUCCCUCCUCUUGACAAGCAGCCACCACUCUUCUCAAGCCUUGUCCCUGGCAGAUAGCCACAAUUCCUUUUCACUGAACUCUCCCCCUUGAAAGCCCCAUUUUGACCUUUUCUUUUCACAGCCCCCCCUUUAUGCUCAUGGCCCUAUAAAAGACCUCAGAGCCUGUGCGAGAGUUAUUGGUCUGGUCUAAGUGCCAGGGCAGUUCCUG
RNAcentral lists this long non-coding RNA (826 nucleotides) under Heterocephalus glaber (naked mole-rat). RNAcentral's name for it is "lncRNA (ENSHGLG00000038437.1)". The record is from RNAcentral. Lineage: Eukaryota; Metazoa; Chordata; Mammalia; Rodentia; Bathyergidae.